AGACCUAACCGAGUCCCAACUCUUCACCCCUGUCUACCGAAAUAUGUUGCUUUGGCGGGCCAACCGGGCUUCCCCGGGGAAGGCUGACCCCUUCUCGUGCCCGCCAAAGGCCUCAAUAAACCCUGUGAUCAGUGUCGUCCGAGUAAAAACAAUCGUUAAAACUUUCAACAACGGAUCUCUUGGUUCCGGCGUCGAUGAAGAACGCAGCGAAAUGCGAAAAGUAAUGUGAAUUGCAGAGUUCCGCGAAU
This 248-nucleotide unclassified non-coding RNA is filed under the name Physconia muscigena. Its description in RNAcentral is "sequence contains 18S rRNA gene, ITS1, 5.8S rRNA gene, ITS2, 28S rRNA gene". The stretch from base 160 to 248 matches the Rfam family "5.8S ribosomal RNA", at positions 1 to 89 of the family's 154-position model. The record is from RNAcentral. Lineage: Eukaryota; Fungi; Ascomycota; Lecanoromycetes; Caliciales; Physciaceae.